ACUCUAGGUGACAUCCUGCCAGCAAAGUUCCGAUCUGGCUGACAACCUACCUUGUUUGCCUUUGUUGUGCUACCAAAACACACGCAGCUUGACGCUCCUGCAGGUCACCCUGUCCCCAAGUGCCUGGGAACCAACAGGUAUGUAAGUGUCUCCUCAAAGUCUCUUAUCAGCCAAAUUGAGGCAAGGAGGCAGAUACCCUCAUUUUCUCUAUUGGGGAGGGGCCCAUCUCCAAAGAGAUCCUUCCAGUGAAGUCAUCUUGGUCACGAUUUUCUCCCUUCCUUUAUAUUCCCAAAGUGUGUGAGAGAGGUGUUUAAGAGAAGGAGGAAAUCAGCUAGCAUGGUGGCCCAUGCCUGUAAUCCCAGCACUUUGGGAGGUCGAGGUGGGUGGAUUACCUGAGGUCAGGAGUUCAAGACCAGCCUGGUCAACAUGGUAAAGCCCCGUCUCUACUAAAAAUACAAAGAUUAGCUGGGUGUGGUGGCACGUGCCUGUAAUCCCAGCUACUCGGGAGGCUGAGGUGGGAGAAUCCCUUGAACCUGGGAGGUGGAGGUUGCAGUGAGCUGAGAUCAUGUCACUGCACUCCAGCCUGAGUGACAGAGUGAGACUCCAAAAAAAAAAAAAAUAAUAAUAAGCAGGAGGAAAUCAUCUCUCCUAAAUCUACUCUGAAGAUUCCCCCAGGAAGGAGGGCAAUCUCUCUCACACACACUUUGAUAUCUCAUUUUUACUUCAUCUUGGAGUCUUAGUGGAAACUUCAAUUUUAACAUACUGUAACAGAUUGCUACAUACAUUUUUGGUUGCUAGUAAAAACAAAACAACAAUUGAAACUGGCUUCCACAAUAACUGGAACUGGUUGGCUCACACAACUGGAAGGAUCUAGAGAUUGGGUGCUGUUUCUCUGUGAUUCCCUUACUCAGAUUGGGCAAAAUUGAACUUGACAAGGCCAAGUUUUUAUUCUGAGCCAAUCCCUAUUGCCAGGGGAGCAGCACGGGUCGCCAGGGGUAGGUGCCAUCCCUGCCCCAAUCGCUAUGGAAGAGUCAUGGUCAUCCUGAUUGAUCGGGUUAAACCUCUAGGGACUCAUUCCCGGAACUGGUGGUGAGAGUGGUGGAGAUGGACUCAACCUUAUCCAAAUCUCCUAGUUAGAUAACUAGGAAGUACGGUGAGAAUGUAGUUUAGGAAGCAACCACAACCACAAACUACGAGGUCAUCUUUUUCAAGCAUCUCAUUUUGUCCUCCCAUAAAUAUGAUGAUUUUGUGGUUAGCUGAGGUUUUGUUUUGUUUUUUAUUUUUUUGAGACAGGAUCUCAUUCUGUCACCCAGGCUGGAGUGCAAUAGCAUAAUCACAGCUUACUGCAGCCUCGACCUCCCAAGCCCAACCCAUCCUCCUGCCUCAGCCUCACAAGCAACUGGGACUACAGGGGCGCACCACCAUGCCUGGCUAAUUUUGAAAUCUUUGUAGAGACAGGGUCUCUCUAUGUUGCCCAGGUUGUUCUCAAACUCCUGGGCUCAAGUGACUCUCUCGCUUCAGCCUCCCAAAGUGCCGGGGUUACAGGCAUGAGCCACCAUGGCUAGCCUUGUUUUUAUAUUCAUAAUAUUAAUACAAACACACUUGUGCCUAUAGAGGAAUUCAUUUUGCAUCAGCCAACUUCUCCAUGAUGUGCAGGAGGCAUCAUGCCUACAAACCAUGAUAUUCUGAAGGACCAUGAAAAUGUUUCAAUUUUUUUAAUCAAGAGCAAUAAAUGAACUUACAGGU
RNAcentral lists this long non-coding RNA (1746 nucleotides) under Homo sapiens (human). Its description in RNAcentral is "HSALNT0272723". The record is from RNAcentral. Lineage: Eukaryota; Metazoa; Chordata; Mammalia; Primates; Hominidae.